RNAcentral lists this ribosomal RNA (497 nucleotides) under uncultured bacterium. Its description in RNAcentral is "partial 16S ribosomal RNA". It matches the Rfam family "Bacterial small subunit ribosomal RNA", at positions 28 to 507 of the family's 1533-position model. The record is from RNAcentral.
GAUGAACGCUGGCGGCGUGCCUAAUACAUGCAAGUCGAGCGAACGGACGAGAAUCUUGCUUCUCUGAUGUUAGCGGCGGACGGGUGAGUAACACGUGGAUAACCUACCUAUCAGACUGGGAUAACUACGGGAAACCGGAGCUAAUACCGGAUAAUAUUUUGAACCGCGUGGUUCAAAAGUGAAAGACGGUCUUGCUGUCACUUAUAGAUGGAUCCGCGCUGCAUUAGCUAGUUGGUAAGGUAACGGCUUACCAAGGCAACUAUGCAUAGCCGACCUGAGAGGGUGAUCGACCACCCGGGAGCUGAGACACGGUCCAUACUCCUACGGGAGGCAGCAGUAGGGAAUCUUCCGCAAUGGGCGAAGGCCUAACGGAGCAACGCCGCGUGAGUGAUGAAGAUCUUCGGAUCGUAAAACUCUGUUAUUAGGGAAGAACAUAUGUGUACGUAACUGUGCAGAUAUUGACGGUACCUAAUCAAAAAGCCACGGCUAACUACGUG